GUCACCUCAGUAGCACAUAUACUAAAACUGAAAUAAUGCAGAGAAGAUUAGCAUGGCUCCUGCACAAGGAUGACAUGCAAAUUCACAAAGGAUUAAAAGAAAAAA
Molecule: small nuclear RNA, 105 nt
Organism: Gracilinanus agilis (Agile Gracile Mouse Opossum)
Lineage: Eukaryota; Metazoa; Chordata; Mammalia; Didelphimorphia; Didelphidae
Source: RefSeq, a predicted model, not a curated record